GAUCUUGUAGCUCAAUAAAAAGAGUUCCACCUUGACAGGGUGGAGGUCGCUGGUUCGAGGCCAGUCGGGAUCA
This 73-nucleotide transfer RNA is filed under the name Bacillus toyonensis. RNAcentral's name for it is "tRNA-Val". The record is from RNAcentral. Lineage: Bacteria; Bacillati; Bacillota; Bacilli; Caryophanales; Bacillaceae.